CUUGUAUAGCAGAGAAAUGGGAAAACCAGUUCUCUGAGCAUUUGCUGGCUGGCACAUUUGUGCUUACUCUUCCACAGCUUUCCAUGGGUCUUCUAAAGGUCAGGCUUCACCUCUGCUGAGACAGCCUGCUCCUGCCAACUUGCACUGUCUCCAAAGAGCAAACCAGGAAGGCUCAUUUCAUUCUCUCCAGUGCACAACCACCAACAGCAGGUCUCACCUGGCCAGAAAUGAGGGCCCAGCUCAGAAGCCUGAACACCAACUACUCUGACCCAGUGCUAUGAAGCCGCAAGGCUUUACAGCACAGGUCUGGAUGUUGGCCCAGACAUCAGACUCCAUUGGCUCUUCCGAUAAAGGUCUCUCCCAGGAGUCAGGAGUGGCUGCCCUUGAGAAAGCUUCUUUUUUAAGAUGUCCAGCCCACAUCCCUGUUGAUUUGAGCAAGGACCUGGCUCACAAAAGAGGCAGAUGCCUUCUGCAGUACAUUGAGCUUCACCCUGCCUCAGGCCAGGCAUAAAGUGGGGAGGGCAGAAAUGCAACCAGACUACCAGCCUGUGAACACGGCCUGGGACUGAAGGGAA
RNAcentral lists this long non-coding RNA (575 nucleotides) under Apteryx rowi (Okarito brown kiwi). RNAcentral describes it as "lncRNA (ENSARWG00000003399.1)". The record is from RNAcentral. Lineage: Eukaryota; Metazoa; Chordata; Aves; Apterygiformes; Apterygidae.